CACCAACUUUAUCAUUACAUUGAGAACAGCUUUGAGCAAAAAUACUUGCUAUCGCUGCAUCCAAUGGUUCUUCAGGUUUAAUAUUUUUCAUCACCUUAUAACCAUCUUUUGUUACCUCUGGAGCGCCAUAGGGUUUACUGAUACCUACUGUUAACCCCUUUGGCCCACCAGUUAUUCCUACUGUUGAAUCUACUACCGCUGCAACGCUGCGAACAACCUUUUGUAGUUGUUCACCUGAUAUUACUACAUUAGCCAUUUUUAUCACCUCUCAUUAUUAAUUAAAAAACUUACUUUUAUGCUUAAAAAAU
Molecule: non-coding RNA, 308 nt
Organism: Cinara cedri
Lineage: Eukaryota; Metazoa; Arthropoda; Insecta; Hemiptera; Aphididae
Source: the annotation of a GenBank genome assembly